GGCACCCAGACGUCCUCUUUCCUACCUGGAUUCUUAGCAGGUGGUGGGCUCUGUCAGGAUGAAGCUGAGCAUCUCCUUCCCAGCCACUGGCUGCCAGCAACUCCUGGACAAUGAAGCAAGCUCUGCCUAUUCCAGAGGCGAGAGGUUACAGAAGUAGUUGCUGAUCCUCUGGGUGAAUAGUGGAGAGGCUACAUGGUCUGAACCAGUGGUGGGAACAGCCGAGAAGGGUUUCCCUUGAAAGGGCCCAGCAAGGUGUGUGGACCUGCUGUUGUGUAAACCUCUUGUUAGAGACCAAAGAAAACCGGAGAGGGGCAGCCAGAGCCUGUCUGCAGUCACAUUAUGGAUGCCGGUCUGAUUUCUCAACUUGAUUAUCAUAAGCGAAGGAGAGGAGACUCCCAGACAGAGAGACAUGACUGUGCUUCAGCGGUUAGGACCCAGAAGAACUGCAGAAACUGAAAGCUUUUCAGUCUUUCUGAAGAGGCUGAUGGUGUCGGCCAACACAUUGUCAGAAAGUAAGCAGAGGGUGUAAGAAGCCGAGGACCAAAGCCCCCAAGAUCCAGCAUGUGGUUACUCCAGCAAAUGCUGAUGUAUUGUUCAGUGGAGACACCAUGCUGUGGAGACCUAGGAGAGGCUGCAGCUAAGCAUUGGGCCAGGAGAAUGAAGGAAGUCAAAGUGGGGGGAAAUGCCAGGAACAGACUCCCAAGAGAUGUAGCCUGCUUCCACUUCCAAGUCAACAAAAAAUGAUCCAAGCUUCAAAAAUACAUUUUGGUGGCUUGGGAGGGCAGCCACAGGGCUCAGUGUGUAAAGGCACUUACACACCUGAGUUUCAUCCCUGGACCCACCUGGUGGAAGAAGAAAACGGACUCCAGCAAGUUGUCCUCUGUCCCCCACACCUGUGUUAUAGCUCCCACAUGCACACACACAAUACAUGAAUAGAUUUGAGACACCUUAAAAUACCAAAAAUAGAAUUUUUUUAUUAAACCCCAUCUCUACUAGUCCACAAUUCUUUUCUGCAUCAAAGUCAUUGGUCCCAACUUGACCUGAUUAAAUGUCACUGAAACAUUGGGGGUAGUAGCCAGAAUGAGGUGUGUGAGAGGAUGGAGCUUGGCCCCUUCUCUGGGUCCCUUGACAACAUGGCAAAAUGCCAGACAAGAAGCCACUUAGAGAAGAGAGAGGUGGACAGAUCUUCAAGACAGAAAGGAGGGACCAGUUUCUGUCCAGUGUGGUAAGAACUGGCCUGCUCCUGCCCUGGUCAUGAAGGAGAGGCAGGGGGACUCUAGUGUUCUGCUGGAGCAGGGAGGACAGGCUGGUACCUCUUUUAGGGUGACAAGCUUAGAAAUCCUAAAGUCCCAGAGCGGUAUCCUAGAUGAGUUCUGUAGUUCUCAGUAUUCCAAAAGGGAUCCUCCAUCUCCUGCAAGAGUCAAAGCAGAUUCAGGGCCGUUAUCGUUAACUGGCGAUGUCCCAAAUAUCUUGCUCCUCACUCAGAGUGCCCAAAUCCGAAGAUUCUACACCCCCAUCGUGAGUCCUCUGUGCCACCCCAUGUCUUACCUGAUCAUCCACAACAAUCUUGCUAGAGUCUUGGGGACUGUCUCCAUCUAGGGAAGAACAAAACAGGACCCAGUCACACUUCAGAAGACGGGAGGCUAAAGAAGGAACUAUGGGCUGGUGAGCUCCCAUGGGCCCCGAGGGUCUCAGAGAUCACCCCUCACCACACUCACCUGCUUCCUGGGUGUCGUGCCUUCCUCUUUCACCUGAGGAAAGAAAACCAUGUAUGCAUGACAUGGGAGCACAAUCUUCCUAAUGCUGCAAUCUUUAAUACUAUAUCAUGUUGCAAUGACCCCCAACCAUAAAGUUACUUUGUUGCUA
Molecule: long non-coding RNA, 1866 nt
Filed under: Rattus norvegicus (Norway rat)
Lineage: Eukaryota; Metazoa; Chordata; Mammalia; Rodentia; Muridae
Description: long non-coding RNA NONRATT017505
Source: RNAcentral